Molecule: long non-coding RNA, 277 nt
Organism: Musa acuminata subsp. malaccensis (wild Malaysian banana)
Lineage: Eukaryota; Viridiplantae; Streptophyta; Magnoliopsida; Zingiberales; Musaceae
Source: RefSeq, a predicted model, not a curated record
UUGCACUGUUGCAAAUCAAUGGCAACAACAUGGAACUUGACAGAGUCAGUAAAGCACCUCUGCAGAAAGCGAUAUGAACCACAUCUCAUGGAUGACAAGGUGCCUGCUGAAAUCAUUCAAACCUGCAAUUCACCUUCUUCCUGAAUCACUAUACCUACUGCUGCCCUUGUGGAUGCUGUGAUUCCAGUCCACCAUUUAUCGUAUCUAAUUUUCUAUUAGUUUUGCCUAAAAGAAACCCAAAUAGUUGCUUCACAGAAUUCUCCAUGAACAUUGUUUA